CGCAUCUUGCGCUCCUUGGUAUUCCUUGGAGCAUGCCUGUUUGAGUGUCAUGAAUAUCUCAAUCCCUAGAAGGCUAUUGUCGACUAGUGGACUUGGUCUUGGGAGUUGUUGGUCACACUGACUCUCCUUAAAUGUAUUAGCGGGACCUAAUUGUAUCUCCGGUGUGAUAAUAUCUACUCCGCUUGAUCACAACAAAGGAUCUGCUUCUAAUCGUCCUUUCGGACAAUCCUUGACAUCUGACCUCAAAUCAGGUAGGACUACCCGCUGAACUUAA
Molecule: unclassified non-coding RNA, 274 nt
Filed under: Hymenochaetales sp.
Lineage: Eukaryota; Fungi; Basidiomycota; Agaricomycetes; Hymenochaetales
Description: partial contains 5.8S ribosomal RNA, internal transcribed spacer 2, and large subunit ribosomal RNA
Source: RNAcentral